AAAUGCGUAGAGAUCAGGAAGAACACCGGUGGCGAAGGCGCUCUGCUGGGCUAUAACUGACACUGAGGGACGAAAGCUAGGGGAGCGAAUGGGAUUAGAUACCCCAGUAGUCCUAGCGGUAAACGAUGGAAACUAGGUGUGGCCUGUAUCGACCCGGGCCGUGCCGAAGCAAACGCGUUAAGUUUCCCGCCUGGGGAGUACGCACGCAAGUGCGAAACUCAAAGGAAUUGACGGGGGCCCGCACAAGCGGUGGAGUAUGUGGUUUAAUUCGAUGCAACGCGAAGAACCUUACCAGGACUUGA
This 302-nucleotide ribosomal RNA is filed under the name Planktothrix agardhii No257. Its description in RNAcentral is "bacterial SSU rRNA". It matches the Rfam family "Bacterial small subunit ribosomal RNA", at positions 684 to 984 of the family's 1533-position model. The record is from RNAcentral. Lineage: Bacteria; Bacillati; Cyanobacteriota; Cyanophyceae; Oscillatoriales; Microcoleaceae.